CAACCCUCAAGCUUCGCUUGGUGAUGGGGACCGCCCGAGGGCGGCCCCGAAACACGUGGGCGCCAACGGCCGGCCCUGAGCGUAGCAAAACCCUCGCUCGGGACCCCGGUCGACGGCCGCCCUGACCCAAACUCAUACAA
RNAcentral lists this unclassified non-coding RNA (140 nucleotides) under uncultured Cylindrosympodium. RNAcentral describes it as "sequence contains ITS2". Lineage: Eukaryota; Fungi; Ascomycota; Dothideomycetes; Venturiales; Venturiaceae. The record is from RNAcentral.